UUUCCGUAAGUGAACCUGCGGAAGGAUCAUUAAUGAGUUGUCAUGGGGUUCGAUGCUGGCAGCCAGUUUUUGGAUGCAUGUGCUUGCCCUAACAAUCAUCUUCUUCCAAACACCUGUGCACAUUUUUGAGGGAGUCUUGAGUUGGUUGCCGCUCUUGGGUGAUUUUCUCACAUUCCCUUAAAUCAUUAUACGCUAUUAACAAUGUUGAACGUGCUCUGUGCCGCAAGGCCAUUAAUAUAAUACAACUUUUAACAACGGAUCUCUUGGCUCUC
RNAcentral lists this unclassified non-coding RNA (272 nucleotides) under plant metagenome. RNAcentral describes it as "partial contains small subunit ribosomal RNA, internal transcribed spacer 1, and 5.8S ribosomal RNA". The record is from RNAcentral.